GUGCUCGCUUCGGCAGCACAGAUACUAAAAUUGGAACGAUACAGAGAUUAGCAUGGCCCCUGCGCAAGGA
RNAcentral lists this small nuclear RNA (70 nucleotides) under Cervus elaphus hippelaphus. Lineage: Eukaryota; Metazoa; Chordata; Mammalia; Artiodactyla; Cervidae. The record is from RNAcentral.